This 253-nucleotide ribosomal RNA is filed under the name uncultured bacterium. RNAcentral describes it as "partial 16S ribosomal RNA". It matches the Rfam family "Bacterial small subunit ribosomal RNA", at positions 524 to 776 of the family's 1533-position model. The record is from RNAcentral.
AACGUAGGAGACAAACGUUAUCCGGAGUUACUGGGCGUAAAGGGCGUGUAGGUGGUUUUAUAAGUCUGGCGUGAAAUUUCUCGGCUUAACCGAGGCAGGUCGUCGGAUACUAUGAGACUAGAGGACGGUAGAGGCGUGUGGAAUUCCGGGUGUAGUGGUGAAAUGCGUAGAGAUCCGGAGGAACACCAGUGGCGAAGGCGACACGCUGGGCCGUACCUGACACUGAUGCGCGACAGCAUGGGGAGCAAACAGG